RNAcentral lists this long non-coding RNA (1174 nucleotides) under Homo sapiens (human). RNAcentral's name for it is "HSALNT0348914". Lineage: Eukaryota; Metazoa; Chordata; Mammalia; Primates; Hominidae. The record is from RNAcentral.
GUGACUUGAGUUCGAAAGGAGAUACUUCCUGGACAACUGCUAUAAAAACAACAACAAAUACUUUUAUUAAUUCGGGGAGCCUGGUCACCAACUGGAUGCUCAGGGGAGAUGGAACCCUGAGCAGCCCAUGUACAUGGAAGAUCUUUAUUGCAGAGAUCUUCAAACCAGAUGGCUCGCAGAGAUUGAGGAACUUGCCCAAGGCUACGCAGCUUGAAACUGAGGCUAAAGAGUUUAGUAUUCUGCCAAGGCCAGCUAAUAGUUACAGAGCAUGGUUCCAAAUUCAGAGCUGUCGGAAGCUUAAGCCCAUGUGAUGAACCACGAAUGUGAUUUUACCUCAUUUAAGCCUUGCAGCAAACUCUGCCAACUAGUGUGCAUUUACUCCUGCCUCUCCAUGCCUGAAGGAAGGAAUGAAGAGGUCUCUGCUGUCCAUCUGAGCCAGUGACUGGGCUGUCUCUACCAGGCCAGAAUUUGGGGCAGGCAAGAUUUUCAGCAUCCCUAAAAUCACACUAAGAAGAUAAACAUGGAAACAGCUUGGAGCUGCCCUACCCAUAGUGAGGUGGUACUGACUGGAAGACAGCUUAAACGAUUUGGAGAAAAGUGGAAUACAUUAAUCUCAGAAAACUCUACCACCUGUAGAAAGAGAGCUAAAAUGGAGACAACCACAGGCAGUCUAAGAUACGCUGAACUACUACAGAAAAUAAUGCAGCAUGAAGGAAUGCUGGAAGGUAUGGGGUCAGAGCAAGCUGAUGGAGGGUCCUUCAUUUCCAAGCCACGAGUACAGCAGGAUGUAAGGCUUAGUUCAUAAGAACAUCUCCUGAAAGACAAUCUCUAUAAAAACUGUUUCAAUAGAAAGAAUGCAAGAUGUAACUGUUUAAUAAUAGGACUGAUAUUUUAAAAAACAAAUGAACGUAAUAGAAGACUAGAUGGAUGUGCUUCUCAAAGUCCUCUCUGUGGGAGGCUUCAUCCUCACUCUAGAUGUGUUGCCUGUAGCAGCUGUUAUUGAUUACCCGCCCAUAGCCUAUCCAUACUUACUCAUCAUUCCUUUACCUACCAGUGGCAUCCUAUUGGAAGCACCUGCGACUUUCUUAGGGCUUUCUCUUGGCCAAGCAUUGGAAGGCCAGCAGUAUUGAAAAGUUAAUAGUCUUGGAAGCACUGGCCCUCAACUAAUGACAAA